CGCGUGGGGGAGAGGCUCUUGGGUUGUAAACCCCUUUUCUCUGGGAAGAAAGUUGUGAAAGCAACCUGACGGUACCAGAGGAAUCAGCAUCGGCUAACUCCGUGCCAGCAGCCGCGGUAAGACGGAGGAUGCAAGCGUUAUCCGGAAUGAUUGGGCGUAAAGCGUCCGCAGGUGGCAGUUCAAGUCUGCUGUCAAAGACCGGGGCUUAACUUCGGAAAGGCAGUGGAAACUGAACAGCUAGAGUAUGGUAGGGGCAGAGGGAAUUCCUGGUGUAGCGGUGAAAUGCGUAGAGAUCAGGAAGAACAUCGGUGGCGAAGGCGCUCUGCUGGACCAUAACUGACACUCAGGGACGAAAGCUAGGGGAGCGAAUGGGAUUAGAUACCCCUAG
Molecule: ribosomal RNA, 388 nt
Filed under: Microcoleus vaginatus
Lineage: Bacteria; Bacillati; Cyanobacteriota; Cyanophyceae; Oscillatoriales; Microcoleaceae
Also listed under: 3 other names
Description: bacterial SSU rRNA
Rfam family: Bacterial small subunit ribosomal RNA
Source: RNAcentral